RNAcentral lists this ribosomal RNA (207 nucleotides) under uncultured bacterium. RNAcentral describes it as "partial 16S ribosomal RNA". It matches the Rfam family "Bacterial small subunit ribosomal RNA", at positions 568 to 774 of the family's 1533-position model. The record is from RNAcentral.
UGUGUAGGCGGACAGUCAAGUGAGAUGUGAAAUCCCUCAGCUCAACUGAGGAAUAGCGUUUCAAACUGACUGACUGGAGUGAGAUAGGGGUAAGCGGAACUUGCGGUGGAGCGGUGAAAUGCAUUGAUAUUGCAAGGAACACCAGAGGCGAAGGCGGCUUACUGGGUCUUAACUGACGCUGAAACACGAAAGCCAGGGUAGCGAACG